Molecule: RNA transcript, 3457 nt
Organism: Musca domestica (house fly)
Lineage: Eukaryota; Metazoa; Arthropoda; Insecta; Diptera; Muscidae
Gene name: NADH-ubiquinone oxidoreductase chain 2-like
Exons: 1
Source: RefSeq, a predicted model, not a curated record
UUAACUAUUUUAAUAAUAGGAUCUUUAAUUGCAAUUUCAGCAAACUCUUGAAUAGGAGCCUGAAUAGGUUUAGAAAUUAAUUUGUUAGCUUUUAUCCCCCUAAUAAGAGAUAAUAAAUUAAUAUCUACAGAAGCAUCUUUAAAGUACUUUUUAACUCAAGCACUAGCUUCUUCUGUAUUUUUAUUUGCAGUAAUUUUAUUUUUACUUAAUACUGGUAAAAAUAAUGCAAAUUUAAUAGAAAUAAUUAUUCUUUCUUCUUUAUUAUUAAAGAGAGGUUCUGCUCCUUUCCAUUUUUGAUUCCCUAAUGUAAUAGAAGGAUUAUCAUGAAUUAAUGCAUUAAUUUUAAUAACUUGACAAAAAAUUGCUCCGUUAAUAUUAAUUUCUUAUGUAAUUUUUAAGCCAUUAAUUAUUAUCAGAAUUAUUUUAUCAAGUUUAAUUGGUGCAUUAGGAGGUUUAAAUCAAACUUCUUUACGUAAAUUAAUAGCUUAUUCUUCAAUUAACCAUUUAGGAUGAAUAUUAGCUGCAAUAUAUAAUAGAAAUAUUUGACUAGUAUAUUUUUUAUUUUAUACAUUUUUAACAUUUUCAAUAGUGUUAAUAUUUAAUAUGUUUAAAAUUUCUUAUAUUAAUCAAUUAUUUUCUUUAUUUUUCCAUGAAAAAAGAAUUAAAUUUUUCUUAUUUUUUAAUCUUCUUUCAUUAGGAGGAUUACCCCCAUUUUUAGGAUUCUUACCAAAAAUAUUUGUAAUUCAAUCUUUAACUAUAAAUAAUCAAUUAUUUUUAUUAACUUUUAUAGUAAUAAUAACAUUAAUUACUUUAUAUUUUUAUAUUCGAUUAUGUUAUAGUGCUUUUAUACUAAACUAUUAUGAAAAUAGUUGAAUAACAUUUUCAUAUUAUAAGUCUUCAAAUAUAAAGCUUUUAUUAACUUUUUCUUAUAUUUCAACUUUUGGGUUAUUUUUAACUUCUUCCUUAUAUUUCUUUUUUUAAGGCUUUAAGUUAAAUAAACUAAUAGCCUUCAAAGCUAUCAAUAUAAGAAUAAUCUUUUAAGCCUUAGUAAAUUUAUUACUCCUUUAGAAUUGCAGUCUAAUGUCAUUAUUGACUAUAAAGCUAAUUGAUUAAAGAGAAAAAUUCUCAUAAAUAAAUUUACAAUCUAUUGCCUAAACUUCAGCCAUUUAAUCGCAACAAUGGUUAUUUCUACUAAUCAUAAAGAUAUUGGUACUUUAUAUUUUAUCUUCGGAGCAUGAUCUGGUAUAGUAGGAACAUCAUUAAGAAUUUUAAUUCGAGCUGAAUUAGGACACCCUGGUGCUCUAAUUGGAGACGAUCAAAUUUAUAAUGUUAUUGUAACAGCUCAUGCUUUUAUUAUAAUUUUCUUUAUAGUAAUACCUAUUAUAAUUGGAGGGUUUGGAAAUUGAUUAGUUCCUUUAAUAUUAGGAGCUCCAGAUAUAGCAUUCCCUCGAAUGAAUAAUAUAAGUUUUUGAUUAUUACCUCCUGCAUUAACUCUAUUAUUAGUAAGAAGUAUAGUAGAAAAGGGAGCUGGAACAGGUUGAACUGUUUAUCCACCUUUAUCAUCAAUUAUUGCUCAUGGUGGAGCUUCAGUUGAUUUAGCUAUUUUCUCUCUUCACUUAGCAGGAAUUUCUUCAAUUUUAGGAGCAGUAAAUUUUAUUACAACUGUUAUUAACAUACGAUCAACAGGAAUUACAUUCGAUCGAAUGCCUUUAUUUGUUUGAUCAGUUGUAAUUACUGCAUUAUUAUUAUUAUUAUCUCUUCCUGUUCUUGCUGGAGCUAUUACUAUACUAUUAACUGAUCGAAAUUUAAAUACUUCAUUCUUUGAUCCAGCUGGAGGAGGUGAUCCAAUUCUUUAUCAACACUUAUUCUGAUUCUUUGGACAUCCAGAAGUUUAUAUUUUAAUUUUACCUGGAUUUGGAAUAAUUUCUCAUAUUAUUAGUCAAGAAUCAGGAAAGAAGGAAACAUUCGGUUCUUUAGGAAUAAUUUAUGCUAUGUUAGCAAUUGGACUUUUAGGAUUUAUUGUAUGAGCUCAUCACAUAUUUACUGUUGGAAUAGACGUUGAUACUCGAGCUUACUUCACUUCAGCUACAAUAAUUAUUGCUGUACCUACUGGAAUUAAGAUUUUAGUUGAUUAGCUACAUUAUACGGAACUCAACUAACUUAUUCUCCAGCUAUUUUAUGAGCUUUAGGAUUCGUAUUCUUAUUUACUGUAGGAGGUUUAACAGGAGUAGUACUAGCUAACUCAUCUGUUGAUAUUAUUUUACAUGAUACAUAUUAUGUAGUUGCUCAUUUCCACUAUGUACUUUCUAUAGGAGCUGUAUUUGCUAUUAUAGCAGGAUUUGUACAUUGAUACCCUCUAUUUACUGUAUUAACUCUAAAUAAUAAACUUUUAAAAAGUCAAUUUGUUAUUAUAUUUAUUGGAGUAAAUUUAACAUUCUUCCCUCAACAUUUCUUAGGAUUAGCCGGAAUACCUCGACGAUAUUCUGAUUAUCCUGAUGCUUAUACAGCAUGAAAUGUAAUUUCAACAAUCGGUUCAACAAUUUCAUUAUUAGGAAUUUUAUAUUUAUUCUAUAUUAUCUGAGAAAGUUUAGUAUCUCAACGACAAGUAAUUUUCCCAAUUCAAUUAAAUUCAUCAAUUGAAUGAUUACAAAAUACUCCACCUGCUGAACACAGAUAUAAUGAAUUGCCUUUACUAACUAAUUUCUAAUAUGGCAGAUUAGUGCAAUGGAUUUAAGCUCCAUAUAUAAAGUAUUUUACUUUUAUUAGAAACUAAUGUCAACAUGAGCAAAUUUAGGUUUACAAGAUAGUUCUUCUCCAUUAAUAGAACAAUUAAUUUUUUUUCAUGAUCAUGCAUUAAUAAUUUUAGUAAUAAUUACAGUAUUAGUCGGAUAUUUAAUGUUUACAUUAUUUUUUAAUAAAUAUGUUAAUCGUUAUUUAUUACAUGGACAAACAAUUGAAAUUAUUUGAACUAUUUUACCUGCAAUUAUUUUAUUAUUCAUUGCUUUCCCUUCUUUACGAUUAUUAUACUUAUUAGAUGAAAUUAAUGAACCAUCAGUAACUUUAAAGGCUAUUGGUCAUCAAUGAUAUUGAAGUUAUGAAUAUUCAGAUUUUAAUAAUGUUGAAUUUGAUUCUUAUAUAAUUCCUACAAAUGAAUUACCAGUAGACGGAUUUCGUUUAUUAGAUGUAGAUAAUCGAGUAGUUUUACCAAUAAAUUCUCAAAUUCGAAUUUUAGUAACUGCUGCUGAUGUAAUUCAUUCAUGAACUGUUCCUGCUUUAGGUGUAAAGGUUGAUGGUACUCCUGGUCGUCUAAAUCAAACUAAUUUCUUAAUUAAUCGACCAGGUUUAUUCUAUGGACAAUGUUCAGAAAUUUGUGGAGCUAAUCAUAGUUUUAUACCAAUUGUAAUUGAAAGUAUUCCUGUAAAUUAUUUUAUUAAGUGAAUUUCUAAAAAUAAUUCUU